Molecule: small nuclear RNA, 23 nt
Filed under: Arabidopsis thaliana (thale cress)
Lineage: Eukaryota; Viridiplantae; Streptophyta; Magnoliopsida; Brassicales; Brassicaceae
Description: snRNA_11560
Source: RNAcentral
GAGAGUAGUACUAGGAUGGGUGA